GACGAACGCUGGCGGCGCGCCUAACACAUGCAAGUCGAACGGAGUCAAGAGGAGCUUGCUUUUCUUGACUUAGUGGCGAACGGGUGAGUAACGCGUAAGUAACCUGCCCUGGAGUGGGGGACAACAGUUGGAAACGACUGCUAAUACCGCGUAAGCCCACGGAUCUGCAUGGAUCUGCGGGAAAAGGAUUUAUUCGCUCUAGGAUGGACUCGCGUCCAAUUAGCUAGUUGGUGAGGUAACGGCCCACCAAGGCGACGAUUGGUAGCCGGACUGAGAGGUUGAACGGCCACAUUGGGACUGAGACACGGCCCAGACUCCUACGGGAGGCAGCAGUGGGGGAUAUUGCACAAUGGGGGAAACCCUGAUGCAGCGACGCCGCAUGGAGGAAGAAGGUUUUCGGAUUGUAAACUCCUGUCGUUAGGGACGAUAAUGACGGUACCUAACAAGAAAGCACCAGCUAACUACGUG
This 468-nucleotide ribosomal RNA is filed under the name uncultured bacterium. RNAcentral's name for it is "partial 16S ribosomal RNA". It matches the Rfam family "Bacterial small subunit ribosomal RNA", at positions 28 to 507 of the family's 1533-position model. The record is from RNAcentral.